Non-coding RNA from Fomitopsis serialis, 98 nucleotides. Lineage: Eukaryota; Fungi; Basidiomycota; Agaricomycetes; Polyporales; Fomitopsidaceae. The record is from the annotation of a RefSeq genome assembly.
GGCCCAAUGGUCUAGAGGUAAGAUACUUGCUUUGGGUUUGCUAAGCGCUUAAUCGCGUCACGUGCAAGGGAUCCCGGGUUCGAAUCCCGGUUGGGGCC